GUCAGGUGUGGUGGUGCAUGCCUGUAGUCCCAGCUACUCAGGAGGCUGAGGCAGGAGGGUCGCUUGAGCCCAGAAGGUCAAGGCUACAGUGAGCUAUGAUUGCACCACUGCACUCUAGUCUGGGCAACAAAGUAACACUCUGUCUCAA
Homo sapiens (human) is the source of this 148-nucleotide non-coding RNA. It matches the Rfam family "Metazoan signal recognition particle RNA". Rfam says of the family: The signal recognition particle (SRP) is a universally conserved ribonucleoprotein. It is involved in the co-translational targeting of proteins to membranes. The eukaryotic SRP consists of a 300-nucleotide 7S RNA and six proteins: SRPs 72, 68, 54, 19, 14, and 9. Lineage: Eukaryota; Metazoa; Chordata; Mammalia; Primates; Hominidae. The record is from Rfam.